CUCAGGACUAAUCAUCCUCAAAAAAAAAAAACAAAAAAAAGGACCCGGCUGUGAGCCAGAUAAUGGCUCAUUUGUGCUCCUCUCACCUGUCUGCUUUCAUCUGGCGUGUUAGAGCUGGCAACAGCUCACAGGUAAUAAACAGCUUCCUGACUUAACUCCAUUCACAUGUUAACGAAUAUUUAUGAAGCACCUAUUACGUGGUAGCAUUCAGAAGAAGCCAGUCACAUAUGAGGAGGAAAGUGGAUAAACAUCAAACUUGCUAAGAGACCAGAUCUUAAUUAUUCCCACCACAAAAAAGGAAUGAUCAUUCUGUGAUGGGCCAGAAGGACCAGCUAACGCUACAAUGGCAAUCAUACGGCAGUUUAUUAAUGUAUCAACUCAACACGAUGCGCAUCUUAAACUUACACAAUGUUAUGUGUCAAAUAUAUUUCAAUUCAAAAAUACAGAAAAAAAAAGAAAGUGGUACAUUUGUUCAUAAGAUGGAUCGAGAACUGGAACUGAAGAAUCAGAGAGGACAGCUCUUCCAAAUCCACUGACAGGAGAAAGAGAAUAGAAAAAUCUUAUUAGGACAUUGGAGUCAAAGAGUUUAUGUCAACUGAAACAGACAACCCUAGGGCAGAAUAAGGAAACCGAGUUAAGACAAUGAAUUCGGAGCCAAAUCUGUUUAAAAGAGGAGCUCUGUGGAGAGCCCACUGUGUAACAGCUGAGAAACAAAAGGUGGAUGACAACAGAGAAGGAAAAGAGGGCGGAUCCACGUUCCCGCCUCCCUGGGUAAACCCCACUCUCAAUGCCCGAUUUAGAGAGGAGGAGGGAAAUGCUGUUUUCCUGGGCCCCCAGUUUUGUAUUAUUUGAAACCUUUCUUUUUCAAACAAUCUAAUCUAAUGGAUUAGGUCACUGAUUCAAGAGGCAAAUUCAUUGACGUUCGUGGUUAGUUAAUGGACUCAUGUGCGCUAAUAUUUGUUGGCGGUUACCUAACUUUUCCACCGCUCGGUAAGCCUUUCUUCAUGAGCGGUAUGGAUUUAAGUCUUGUUGUUUUUAAAAAGGCAGAUUUGUUUUUUAGUUCAGUUUUUGCAAGAGGUAUUAUAGUCGUAUCAUUUGGCAAUUUUCCUAAGAGAAGAGAAUCUUGAAGAAUUUCAAAGCCAACUGUGUUUUUCAGUAAGCUCACAUACCAAGGAAGCUGGGAAAGAAGCUUGGAAAAAAUGAGAUGCAAAGUGAGGGUUGGCACAGAAUUUGAAUGAUGAUUAGCAGGGCGGACACCUCAUUCCAAAGCAUCCAGUUGCACAUAGCAUUUGCUCAGCAAUUUACCAAGAGGACAAAGGUGGCCUCCUCUGCUGUUUGUUGGUGAAAGUUUGCUAGACUUAUCUUUGAACGGUGACUGUCAGUUAUUAACUUUUCUCAUGAAAAAAGUCCCUGGAAUGUAAAAAUUUAUUCCGAGCAACAGCACACACCAAACCUCCCUCACCGCUGCCCGCUGUCCAUCUCAGAUUCUGAUCAUGCAGAGACGAAAGGCUGAGGGCUCUCCCGGAGCUCACCUUCCAUCUGCGAAAGCCACUGCCGGGACAAUUCUUUCCCCAGAGAGAAGGCAUCCUCUUGGGCACAGAAGCGAGAUAGUCUAACAGUGUCCCAGAGCUCUCCGUACCUCAGUUUCCCGAUCUGCGCAUGCCAUACAUGGUGGUCCUACUGCUGGUUUGAAAAGUAUGCUGCAAAUAUGAAGAGACAAUCAGCAAGGCUCCUUGGAUAAGGUUAUUAUAUUCAAGUCUUGCCAAAAAAUGUAAGAAAAGAAACUCCUGUUUGAUGGGAUCCAGAGGAACAAUUAUGCUUUCUAAAAAUAAGAUGAGCCGAAGCUAAGGAAAUGAAAACGUUUCUAAAGAAGAAGGUCAGGACUUCUUUUGUGGCCUCCUUUCAUCGCUGGGUUAUUCACUGUAAUAGUAGCCUGCCAUUUCAAACUAUGACUCAGGGGCCUGGUCAUGGGUUACAGAGCAUUUCAUCUGUGGUCACCCCACCUGCCCACGAAGAAAUUGAUGGUUAGCGACUACAGAGCAGGUUACUCACUGAAUAUUAUUCUCCACCGUAACCUCCUGACCCUUGCCUCAUCGAAAAGAUUGGUGCUAUUCUGCUUUUACCUACAGAGAAAGAGCAAGGAGGAGAUAAAAUAGGACCUUGAUAUUCAGGGUUGUGGCUCAUUUCUGAAGGUCGGACAUGAAAAGCUGUUUCGAAUUUUGCCCCAUUCGUUCUUAAAACUGCAGCCCAGGAAUUUAUAAGCAUAGCUGCCCUUUAUCUCUCCCAAGAAUGAAAUUGCUUUCUCCAAUAGAGUUUAAAGGGAUGAAUUAAUUCGUGUUUUUGGCAGGAGUACUCUAUAAUUGCAAAGAACUCUGAGUAUCACCAUAUAGUUUUUUCCUUAGAUGGUCCAUUAGGAGGAACUAUGGCAUUCCCAAAGCUAUUCUUUAAUUAGGUCAGCAGCAUCUGCCAAGAAUCCACUCUCCUCUCAGACCAGGUUUAAUCACAGUGACAAGUGACUUUCAAGUUUAUACCCACACACUCUUAGAUUUCGGAUUUGCCCUAGAAGAAGGUUCUGAUCAUAGCGUUCUGAGCGCUGGCCCCUGGGCCUGACUUCCCUGUCUGCCUGGAUUUGGGAUUUUUGGCCUGCCCUUACCUUGUGACUUGCCCCCCUGGAUUGCUGACCCAUUCUUGACCUCUGACAACAGCACGCUCCUUAACAUCUGUUCUACUUGCAUAGAGCCUUGCCUUCCGCCCGAUUCUUAAUUCUGAUUAUUAGGCUUCUGGACCAGGCCAAUCCUCACAGCCUAGGGAGGACGGAGAUGUCCUUAGACUAAAAUGGCCAAGACCAGAGCUCAUGAAUGACAAGGACAAAUAACCCAAGGACUCAGUGAUCAUACAAAUGUCCAAAUGGGGGGCACAUGAAUUGCUGUAAGGCCUUAGAUUUCACAUAUUAUAUAUAUGAGGUUCAUAUAUUACAGUUAGUUACAGGACACUAAUGAGAGACAGACUUUUCAAACCUAGGUCACAGAACACUGAGCAUAGCCCUCAAAAUGCACCCUGGAUCAUACAGCAAAAGAUACGCAGUCACCGAAUUGCUGCUGGGCCAAUGUGUCAAUCACGCCCCGAGGACAGCAGGCUGGGUGGCCACUUAAGACCUGAACAUCAAGAAGCUAGAAGAGGUGUGGAAAUUCUGAGAAGGUCUUUAUCAUUUAGAAACAGAAAGGCAUAGUGUGUCAAACUACUUCCAUUCCAUGGGAAACUGUUAUUCUAAAUGCUCAAAUAUGUCGGGGUAUUUAAAAUGACAAGAGUAGUUUGGACAACAGCAGCGGCUGUGGAAGACCAGAAGGAAUGAGGAGGGGAGCGAGGAGCUUGGUCACGGAACCUACUCAGGCACUGAUUGGGCAGCUCUCAGUUCCUUUGUAAAAGGUGAGGAAGGUAAUUCUAAAUCACAUUUAUAGCCCUUCCAGUUCUGAAUGAUUCUUUGACCUUGAGAUAGAAUCACAAGGCUGGAAAGGAUCUUAGAAGGUGCUUAAGUCAACCUCUAAACUUUCAGCGACAUAGAGCACAGCCUCUCCCUGGCCAGCCCAGGCCCUUUCCAAACAGUUCUUACCAGGGGAAAGUCUUCUUUAUCUUGAACUCACACCCUCCAACCUGUAUUUUCCAACAAGAAGAAAGAGAGUAGCACCUCCCCUCCCCUACUGUGAGCGUUCUACCUCUGUUAAUGCAGCUCACAUAUGAAUUAGCAUUUGAAGGACAGUCAUAUCACAUCAUUGAAUUACGUUGAUCUUAUAAUCUUUUUCACAUGUGGGCAUUAAGCAACACCUCUAAUAGUCUGUGUUGUUUAAUUGGGAUUUUUAUUCCAAGUAUAGAACCUUAAAAUUUACCCCUGUUGGAUUUUGUCUUGUUAUUGUUGAAAGAUCCUGUAAGAAAAGCCCAAGGCAAAAAGGGAUCAGUAAUGGACCUUAAGAAAAAGGGAAUAAGAAAUAGGCCUAGGGGCCGGUCCCAUGGCCAAGUGGUUAAGUUCAUGCGCUCCGC
Equus caballus (horse) is the source of this 4035-nucleotide non-coding RNA. The record is from RefSeq and is a predicted model, not a curated record. NCBI's taxonomy places the organism in Eukaryota, Metazoa, Chordata, Mammalia, Perissodactyla, Equidae.